This 483-nucleotide ribosomal RNA is filed under the name uncultured bacterium. RNAcentral's name for it is "partial 16S ribosomal RNA". It matches the Rfam family "Bacterial small subunit ribosomal RNA", at positions 28 to 506 of the family's 1533-position model. The record is from RNAcentral.
AUUGAACGCUGGCGGCAUGCUUUACACAUGCAAGUCGAACGGCAGCGCGGGCUUCGGCCUGGCGGCGAGUGGCGAACGGGUGAGUAAUGCAUCGGAACGUGCCCAGUAGUGGGGGAUAGCCCGGCGAAAGCCGGAUUAAUACCGCAUACGACCUGAGGGUGAAAGCGGGGGACCGAAAGGCCUCGCGCUAUUGGAGCGGCCGAUGUCGGAUUAGCUAGUUGGUGGGGUAAAGGCUUACCAAGGCGACGAUCCGUAGCUGGUCUGAGAGGACGACCAGCCACACUGGGACUGAGACACGGCCCAGACUCCUACGGGAGGCAGCAGUGGGGAAUUUUGGACAAUGGGGGCAACCCUGAUCCAGCCAUGCCGCGUGCGGGAAGAAGGCCUUCGGGUUGUAAACCGCUUUUGUUCGGGAAGAAAUCCUCUGGGCUAAUACCCCGGGGGGAGGACGGUACCGGAAGAAUAAGCACCGGCUAACUACGU